GAGAGAGGGAACACAAGCAGGGAAGCAGGCUUCCUGCUGAGCAGAGAGCCCAGUGCGGGGCUGGAUCCCAGGACCCUAGGAUCCUGAUCUGAGCUGAAGGCAGACACUCCUAAUUUUCCAGAUUUUUAUUGAUCCUACUCAUUUAUUUGACACAGAGAGAGGAAUACAAGCAAGGGGAGUGGGAGAAGGAGAAGCAGGCUUCCUACUGAGCAGGGAGCCCAAUGUGGGACUUAAUCCAAGGACCGUGGGACCAUGACCUGAACCGAAGGCAGACCUUUCACCACUGAACAACCCAGGUACCCCUUAAGACAGCUUCUAGUUUUUGUCAACAACUGGAAUCCUCUUCCCUAAAUGUGAUGAUUGCUACUGACACCACAAUCAUUAUCAACCUAUACCUGCCAUGAAUGUACCAGGUACUGUCUUUGGGAUGAAUAGCCUAGGCAGGGAGCAAAGCACUCCACAGAUAUUAUCUUGUUUUAAUCCUCAAAACAAGUCUUUGUUGUAUGUAUUAUCAUCUUCACAUUACAAAAUAAAUGCUUUAAAUACUAUGCAUACUACUUUUUGUAAUGAAAAACUCCACAGUUAGUAGCCACCUCCUCCAUGAAGAUUUCCUAACUUCCUUUUUUAAUGCUACCAUAAUUUUUUGAUUACAUAAACAUUUUUUUUUUAUUUGAGUAUAGUUGACACACAAUGUUACAUUUGUUUUAGGUGUACAACAUAAUGGUUCAACAUAUACAUUAUGCUUUGCUCAUAAGUGUAUCUACCAUCUGUCACCAUACAAUGCUGUUACGAUAUCAUUGAUUAUAUCCCCUAUGUUGCCCCUUUUAUUCCCAUGACCUAUUAUUCCAUAACUGAAAGGCUGUAUCUUCCACUCCUUUUCAUACAGUUUGACCUAUAUCAUCCCCCUUCCCUCUGGCAACCAUAGUUUGUUCUCCAUAUUUAUAAGCCUGGUUCUGCUUUUUGUUUGUUUAUUUGUUUUAUUUUUUUAGAUUCCACGUAUGAUGUGAAAUCAUAUAGUAUUUGUCUUUUCAGUCUAACUUAUUCCACUUAACAUAAUACCCUUUAGGUCCAUUCAUGUUGCAAAUGGCAAAAUCUCAUCUAGAUAUAUGUCCUAAGGCAAGAAAAACAAAAGCAAAAUAAACUAUUGGGACCACAUAAAAAUAAAAAGUUUCUUCACAGCAAAGAAAACAAUCAACAGAACAAAAAGGCAACCUACCAAAUGGGAGAAUAUAUUUACAAAUGACCUAUCUGAUAAAAUAUUAGGUUUCAAAAUAUAUAAAGAACUUAUACAACACCACACCAAAAAAGCCAAUCUGAUUAAAAAAUGGGUAGAGGACCUGGAUAGACAUUUUUCCAAAGAAGACCUACAGAUGGCCACACACAUGAAAAGAUGCUCAACAUCAUUCAUCAUCAGGGAAAUGCAAAUCAAAACCACAAUGAGAUAUCACUAUAGACCUGUCAGAAUGGAUAAAAGAAAAAAGAGAAGAGGUAACAAGUGUUGGUGGGGAUGUUGGGGAAAAAAAUAAUUAUGCAUUAUUGGUGGGAAUAUAAAUUGGUAUGACCACUAUGGAAAAUAGUAUGGGGAUUCCUCAAAAAGUUAAAAUAGAAAUACCAUGCAAUCCAGUAAUUCCACUGCUGGAGAUUAACCCAAAGAAAAUGAAAAGGCUAAUUGAAAAAGACAUAUGCACUCAUAUGUUUGUUGUAUUACUUACAAUACCCAAGAUAUGGAAGCAACCUACGUGUCCAUUGAUAGAAGCAUGUAUAAGGAGAUGUGGUAUAUACACACACUUCCACAUGCAUAAUGAGAUGAUUGCAUAGUUUUAAAAACUAGAUUCACACUGCAAUUUUUAUUAAUUAAAUCCAUUGAUAGGUUUGAUUCCACAACAGUAUUUGGGAAUAAUGAAGAAGGAUAUUGAAACAAAACAAAAUUCAUGCCCCACUUUUUAUUAAAUAUAGUUUAUUUUGCCCAGAAUAUAUUGGUAGCAAAAUAAUGCCAGAAGGGCAAAUAAGAAUAAUUGGGGUGGAGAAGAGAUUGCUAUAAGCUUAUAGAUGAAUGAAAAGGAAUUUUUCAUUUAGAUUAAGAGUCAUGAGAGGCAUAUUAAAAACAAAACCAAAAAAAACCCACCUAAGAAGAAUAAACCUAAUCUCUAAAUAGUAGAAUGAAGGUUUCAUUCAACUUUC
Molecule: long non-coding RNA, 2181 nt
Organism: Mustela lutreola (European mink)
Lineage: Eukaryota; Metazoa; Chordata; Mammalia; Carnivora; Mustelidae
Exons: 3
Source: RefSeq, a predicted model, not a curated record